RNA transcript from Glossina fuscipes, 4916 nucleotides. It is a transcript of the gene named JNK-interacting protein 3, with no coding region annotated. The transcript is spliced from 18 exons. Lineage: Eukaryota; Metazoa; Arthropoda; Insecta; Diptera; Glossinidae. The record is from RefSeq and is a predicted model, not a curated record.
UCAAAAGGAAAAUGCAUAAAUAUUGAAAUCGUAAUCAUAUGUAAUUUUAUACGAAGAAUAAUGAAAUUAUAUCAAAAGGUCUACAAUGAAUAUAGGUUUAGUGAAAAACCAAUAAAGUUCUAGUCAUAAUUUUAUUCUCCUCUCUACCCCUACCUCACCCCUUUUACAAAACAACGAGGACACCAAGUAAAAUAUAUGUUUUAACACAAGUCUGUUGAGAGUGGAGCGAAAAGUGAAAAGAAACACAUAAAAUCUGUUUUCAACUAUCGUGAGUAGAAAGAUAAAAAAAAAAAAAAUCACAACGAAAACAAAGAUUCGUCAGCAGUACAUAAAUUGCAACAAAUGCCAGUGAUAAUGAAUGCGCCACUAAUAAUAAUAAUAACAACAACAACAACAACAGCAACACCAAAAACAACGAUAGCAGUUAAUUUGAAAGAAAGUAAAUUUUAAAUAUCGCUCUAAUCUAUCCGUCUUUAGAGAGUUAUACUGCAUUUUACAACACUUUGUUUCAUUGAGAAAUUUGGGAAAUAUUAUACGGCACUUUAUAACGCUUUAUAUAGAAGUUUUGGAUAAUGUUGUAAAUAUUUUAUAGAAAUCCGCUUCGCUUCACAUAUAUAACAAACCUUGGCAAAGAUGCUUGCCUUGUGAGGGCGUCACAGCCCCCGUUCGCGUUUUAAUUUAAAAUUGAAAUUUUAGCGUGUUAAGCGGAUAAAAGGAAAAGAAAAAUAGAAAGAGAGGGAGAGAAGAAGAAGAAGAAGAAGAAAAAAAAGAAAAAGAAAAAGUGUGGGCUACAAAAAGGGGGUGUGUAAUUUCCCAUUGCAAUUUGUAUAUUUUUAUUUUUGCACAAUUCCAAUUGGGUUCUAAAGCUUUCAAAAAGAUUUGUAAGUGUGGGCGUGUGAUUCUGCAAGUGUAUUUUUUCUGUGAUUAAAUUAAAGUGAUUGCAAUAAAAUGGAUAACGACGAUACGAUGCUCAACAAUUGUGGACCUCAGCCUGGCGCUGAAACCGUCUACGGCACUGAUGACAAUAACAUGGUCAUGUCGGAAAAGAAUGAACAGGUUGUCAGCAUCGUUCAGCAAUUAGCCGGCAGCAUUUAUCAAGAAUUCGAACGCAUGAUUAAUCGUUACGAUGAGGAUGUUGUAAAAAAUUUAAUGCCUUUACUAGUGAAUGUUCUCGAGUGUUUAGAUGCCUCGUAUCGCAUCAAUCAAGAACAAGACGUUGAAGUCGAAUUAUUGCGUGAGGAUAACGAACAGUUGGUAACACAAUAUGAACGUGAGAAAAGUGCUCGCAAAUUAGCCGAACAAAAGCUUUUAGAAUCGGAAGACUUAGCUGAACAAGAAAAUAAAGAGUUGGCGAGCCGUUUAGAGUCAUUAGAGAGCAUAGUAAGGAUGUUGGAAUUAAAGCAUAAAAAUAGCUUAGAACAUGCCAGCCGCUUAGAAGAAAGAGAAUCCGAAUUAAAAAAGGAAUAUAAUAAACUACAUGAACGUUAUACGGAACUAUUUAAAAAUCAUGUUGAUUACAUGGAAAGAACCAAAAUGCUAAUGGGCUCCACGCAUUCACAAAUGAGUUCGGCUUCAGAUCGCAUGGAAUUGAGUAGAGCACGUUUAAAUCCCGUAGCCCGAUCUUCUGGUCCCGUAUCGUACGGUUUCGCGUCUUUGGAAAAUUCCACAAUGCUAGAUACAGAAACUAUAUGCAGCGUAGGCAGCAACUCAGACGAUUCGGGACCUCCAUCAUUGCAAAAUGAAAUGGAAAAUAUACAAACGGUAGAGAGAGCAGCCGAAACCGAUAGUUUACAACAACACAAUCAAGCCACAUCACCGCAUACAACCGAAACCAGUCCAAUUGUGCCAAAUACAACAUCCAAUGUUGGCCGUACUACCACGAAAAAGGAACAGCGUUCUGCUAACAAUCUUUAUCAAGAGUUGUCCUUUCAAGAUAACGAAGAAAGCGAAGAAAAUGAAAUUGUUACAGGAAGUUGGGUUCAUCCUGGGGAAUAUGCUUCUUCAGCUAAUGACAAUUAUUUUGGUAUGGGCAAAGAAGUGGAGAAUCUCAUUAUGGAAAACAAUGAGCUAUUGGCCACCAAAAAUGCUCUUAAUAUUGUUAAGGAUGAUUUGAUAGCUAAGGUUGAUGAGCUAACGGGAGAAAUUGAAAUUCUCCGCGAGGAACUGAAUGCAAUGCAGCAGUCACGUAAUAAAUUGCGUUCAAAAGUGCAAGAACUGGAAGAUGAACUUAAGAAAACCAAAGAACAAGUCAAACAACAAAAUGACAAUGAGCAGGAAGAAAACGAUGUACCGUUGGCCCAGCGUAAACGUUUCACUCGGGUCGAAAUGGCUAUGGUGCUUAUGGAACGUAAUCAAUACAAAGAACGUCUAAUGGAAUUACAAGAAGCCGUACGUCUUACCGAAAUUAUUAGAGCAUCGCGUACCGUAGAAUUGGAUAAAAAAUCGAAGCAGAGCAUAUGGAAAUAUUUCAGUAAUUUGUUUUCCCCCUCCAAUCGCCCUCAGGAACGUGCAGCUGAUGGGCAGGGAGGGGGGCCUAUGUUUCGCUACUCAAGUCCAGUACACUCCCACGGAUCACCCAGUCGAAAUAGCGACAAUCGCCUUGCCAUAACGGGACGAGAUCACACGUCGCCAUUUCAUCCGGUCAAUGCCGGUUUGGCUAAUGCUCUACCCAAUGCCAAAGAUUAUUCUGAUGAGGGUACCUCAGAGCGGGCUCGUGCUAGACGUCACGAACAAUAUCGUCAGCUAAGAGCACAUGUACAAAAGGAAGAUGGACGUAUGCAUGCUUACGGCUGGAGUUUACCGGCCAGUAAAGCUAUUAAUGAAAAGGAAUCACAAAACCGCCAUUCCGGCAGUGUUCCGGUGCCAGUUUAUUGUAAUCCCCUCGCAGAGGCUUCGCCGCACAUGAAAGUGUUCUGUGCGGCUGGUGUUAAUUUAAACGGUGGCUUUACCAAAAACGGUCAAUCGAUCAUACCCGCUACCUCACCCUAUGCGCCACGUUCUACAGCGAAAAUUGCCGAAAUAACUAGCCCGACUGCAGAACAUUCAGCCGAAGCUUUAGAUCGUCAAAUAACUAGAGCUAGUCUUGAACAUUUGGAACCUGAAACUCAGUUGACCUCUUACGUUUGGAUAUGUACCAGCACUCACGGAGCCAGCACUGUCACCGUUGUGGAUGCCAAUCAAUCUGCAACUGUUUUAGAUGUUUUCCCCGUGUGUUCUUCCCAUUUACUAUGCAUCGCAUCGGUGCCAGGUGCAAUGGAAAAAGACUAUGCUUUACUUGAAAAUUCCGAGGUAAUAAAAGCAGGUGAAAUGCUUGAGAGGCCCGGAGAGGGACAGGAAGAUUUUGGCAAAGUCGAAUUUGUACGUGUAAAACCGAAAUCCGAUAAGAACAGUAAUACCAAAGAGGAUGUACUAGUGGAGAUAAAUACUGAGACGCCGGUGGAAGAGAAAGCUAAAGAAGCGACUGAAAAAUCAAAUGAAAUCAAUGGCUCAGUACCUAUGGAACCAUUGGGUAAUGUAAAUGAAAUUAAAAUACGCCAAGCUUUACCGGGUGCACCGCAACGAUUACAUAUUGCAGCUGAAGCCAAAGCAGCACAAACGCCUACUUCGAAUUCAGCUACAGUCGUUAAUGCAAAUAACAACACUAAUAACAACAACAAUGUGCUUAGUCAACAAUUAACUUUUUCGAAAUCUAUAAAUCCAAUAUUGGAUACAAAAGACCGUCUAGAACCAUUGAUGAGCUCUGUUGGUCCGACCAUGUGGUUGGGUGCUCAGGAUGGUUGCUUGUACGUACACAGUUCAGUAGGCCGCUGGCAUGAAUGCUUGCACAAAGCUCUCUUGCCCGAUGCCGUCCUAGCGAUAGUUCAUGUGGAGUCGCGUGUUGUGGUGGCUCUGGCCAAUGCCCAAUUAGCCGUGUUCCGCCGCCAAACAGACGGCCAAUGGGAUCUGAAUAGUUAUCAUCUGGUUACGCUGGGUGAUCGUAAUCAUUCGAUACGUUGCCUCUGUGUGGCUGGCGAACGCAUAUGGGCUGCCCAUCGCAACAAGAUAUUCAUUGUCGAUCCGAUCUCAUUGAAUAUUAUACACUCGCUGGACGCUCAUCCGCGCAAAGAGAGUCAAGUGCGGCAAAUGGCUGCCACAGGUGCCGGCGUAUGGGUAUCGAUACGAUUGGAUUCCACCCUACGUUUGUACAAUACAUACACAUUCGAGCAUAAACAGGAUGUGGACAUAGAACCAUAUGUUUCGAAAAUGUUGGGCACUGGAAAAUUAGGUUUUUCUUUCGUACGUAUUACCGCUUUAAUGGUGUCGUGUAAUCGUCUGUGGAUAGGCACCAGUAAUGGUGUUAUUAUAUCUGUACCGCUUUCAGAUAACAACAGUAAAUCAAUUGAUCCGAACAGUCAGCUGCCAUUGUGCUGCAUGGCCAAUGCUCAAUUAUCCUUUCACGGUCAUCGGGAUGCAGUCAAGUUCUUUGUUUCCGUACCUUUGAAACAGAACGGUACAUCUCAGUUGCAAUUUACCAACAAACGGCCCGAUAUGUUGGUUAUGUGUGGCGGUGAAGGUUACAUCGAUUUUCGCAUCAGACAUGAAAGAUCAAUAACCGAUGCUAGUGAUAAUGCUGCGCAUUUGAUAGUUUGGAAAGUUAAUUCUACUUUCAACUUAUAGUCGAUAAAUUUUGCAUUGAAGUUCUCUCAUAUAUUAAUGUGCGUCAUAAUUAACAUUACGCGUUUACUUAGAGCGGCCUGCGGCCAUAUGACAACCUUUCGAGGAAUUUCCUUCCUCAAGCCCAGAAAGCUAACGAUUUCAGUGACCUGAUACAAUAAAUUGCGAAAAUCAAGAUGAUAACGAUAUGGAGAAAAGUAUAAAUUUGGAACCGAAUCAAACCAUAGAAAAUCGUGGUGAGAAAAGUUAUUUAAUUGUGUGGA